GAGGAUCUGCACGUGUGCUCGAGGAUCUCUGGCUCUCUGCAUCGGGCUGUUGAGGGAUUGGGUUGUGUCUCUCCUUUGUGUUUGUCGCAUCAGCUAUCCGCGGGAAGGUGGGGAGAUCGGCACGGUGUGGGGUGUCACUUCGUCGGCAUACACGUGUUUUCUUAUCCCUUACCCUGCAUCUAUUGUGAGGCAACCGUCACACAGCCGAGGGCCCUACCAGCGCUAGCCCUAACAAAGGGCGCACAUACCCACAGCUGCAUAUAUAUAUAUAUGUAUCUGCCUCCCUCUUCCUUCCCACCCACUCCGCAGAGGCAGCACAAAACCUCGGCUACUGCCACAAGCAUUCCCUCUUUUGCUCUUCGUCUUCACGCCGUUCACGCCCAACGCCGCCCACCACGCCUCGGACUCUACUCCUUUCAUGCCUAUGUAGUAUAUAUUUGGGGCGUGGUUUUCGCUAUCGUGUUCUGGAGUGCUCUCGCGUUCUCGCUAGCUUUUCACCCUUCACUGCCAUCUUUCUUUCUCUUGUCCAACUCCCUCUCUGUACUGCGCGGUUGUCGUUUCUGUUGUGUGGCUGUUGCUGACUGUGUGGUCGCCUCUUCCUCUUCUUUUCUCUCGACUUUCAGGCUUACCGUCCUCGCCCCCACCUCCUACCACCUCUCUUCUAUUCCUCCAAGGCGUUUUCAAGGGAUUGUGCGUCUUGACGUUUUUUUUUUUCGUGGUUUCUUCUCUGUAUCAUCGAGGCCAACGGUGCUGCCCCACCCCCUCCCCUUCCCUCACAUCCUCUUCCUCAUCCCCCUCGUGCCCUCGCUAGUGUUGUGUGUGCUUGUGGCGGAACAUCACCUCGGUCGUUUUUGAUCUUGGUGCUCACAGCUCUCUCUCUCUGUGCGUGUGUGUGUGUGUUUCAUAAAAGCUCACAUAUCGUUGUUCUCUUUGUUCUGCUGUUGUUGCGCCACCGGCGGCGGUGAACAUGAACCCACUCUUGGCGCGAGACUACGAGGUCCCGAAGAAGCCCAUUUUUCUUCUCGAGGGCAGAGAUGUGGUUCAGAGCACCGAGGCGUCUGCCUUCGUCUCGAACAGCGUCACUGAUAGCGUCAUGUACAGCACUAACGGGAACCUCGGUCUGCGACACCUGAGCGAGGUGGAAAGGGUCGGCUUCAAGACGGAGGUUCUGAUGAAUGGCCUCUACCACGAAGAGCCGACUGACAUAUCGGAGUACAUGGGUAUUCCUCGCACUAAUCAGGUGGGGGCGAGUAUCUGCACAGUCGACUUCGACUGCAUGCUGGACGGUGAAUCAGGUACGCUGUCGUCGAUCCCAUCCCGAAAGCUGAGCCUCGACGACGGUGCGUAUCGCAGUCAUUGCUCCGACGUCAUGAGCGCUGAUGGGGGGCUCAUCUUCGACACGAAGUACGUGCGUACAGUCGGGCUCAGCGACCUGAGCACGUGGGGUGCGCAGGUGUGCUACAGCGACUUCCGACUCGGCGCCAAGGGCUCGCCAGUGUCUGUCGGCAGCGACACUAAAAUCGGCUUCUGCAACUGCGUGGCGGGCUCCGGCGCGCCGCACAGUCUUAGUGUGGAUAGCAUGUCCGACGGGGCCCUGCAGAUACAUUCGUCACACGUGACGUACUGCUCGCACAGCGACCUGAAUUAUCGCAUCGAGCUUGUCGUGCUCAUUUCCAUUGACCAGGAGUGCUGGGAUGUUGCUCACCAGCAAAUGGAUCACGUGCAUCAGUGCUCGCUGACCUCGGGCAAGGAGGUGACGACAUUCACGGAGGUGGAGUGUGUGGUGAAGUACGGCGACACAUAUCGCCCGCUGCAGGCGGAGGUGGAGGGCACCGCAUGGAUUCGCGAAUCCGAAAGCGACACGACGUCGCCGUUCUCGCGCGAUCGGUAUAAUGUGAGUGCCGGCGGCGGCGGCGGCGGCGCGCGGGACGGCGCCAGCAGCUACAGCAAUACAGAAAGCAAGGAGCACGGUAACGGCGACCGGGAUGGCGGCAGCAACUCCGCCUUUCUUCGACCAGGCUCGUGGCACUACCACACCUUCCACAGCUCCAACAAGGCCCAGAAGUCGUACGUGAUCAAGAAGCGAUUUAUGAUGCCACUGACGCCUGAGACGGUGCCGGAUAGCGUCGUGCUGACCUUCCGUGCCUGUCACAAGCGCGACCACGCGGAGCAGCGCCCGCGAGCACUGCCGACGAUUGAGGAGAUGAUUGCGGAUCAGAAGGCUGCGCUCCAGUUGUUCUGGAAGACGUUUGACGCCGAUGUCAAGCUGCAGGACGAGCUGAGUCCCAGCCGCAGCUCGCUGCCCUUUGUGUACAACGCAUUUCGCAUGUUUAUGGUCAGUCACGGUCUGGAGGGUGGGCUGUCGCGCUCUGGGCUCUCGGCCGCCGGCGACGGGCUGCAGUUCAACCUGUCCGAGUACAUCUACUAUGGACUGUACUACCUUCUCACGCAGCCGGAAGCGUGCUUGCGACUGCUCAAGAGCGUCUACCACAUGCUGCCACAAUCGCGGAAGUAUGCGCGCGUACUCGCCAUGAACCACGGCGCCGUAUUUCCACUGAACACGAUCAGCGGCGUCCACUCCACGCAUGCUGCCAACGUGAGCAACGCUCGCUUCCACGUGAACGCCGAGAUCGGCUUCCUCAUCGCCCUCUACGACGAGGCAGCGGAGAGCAUCUCGGCUGAGGAUCGGCUGCUGCUCCUCGAGCUGAUGAUGGAGUCGGCUCGCAUCUGGCCGCAGUGUGGGGAGUGGCAGGACGACCACACCGUCUUCCGCCUGGACAACAUCGCGGGUACGGAUGAGUACAACAGCAACGCAUCGGGCAACUUCUACGUCAACAUCUCCGCGCGGAGGCAUAUCGCCUCCGCCUUCUCGUUUCUCGACCGUCAGCGUGAGCACCUUACCGAGGAGCAGCUGAACAGCGUCUUCGCUUCGCUAGGGAUGUCCCGGCACGAGAUGGCCGAGCUGCAGGCCGUCGGCGACGGCAUCGUUGUACCGCAGCGCCACGAGCGACUCGGUGUGUAUAUGGUGCAUGACAACUUCGACACCUUGAUCGACUGGGGCAACGAGCGGGCCAUGCACCCGCUUCACCUGAACUACCACCCGAUCCACAUCUAUCGACGUAAGCUCAUCGACGUGCCCGAGGUGCUGCUGGGCAUGCUGCUCUACCCCGACGAGUUCGACCAGCGCGACUUUCAGCAGAACUUCGAGUACUACCUCCCACUCUGCACGUUUGACUCGCCUGAGUCGCUGUUUGUGAUGGUACACGCGCUCUGCCGCGCACGGUCGAACUUCUCGCAGCCGAUGCCGCUUCUGCGCUCCUUGGCGAACAUCGAUCUCGACAACAUUGUCUACUCCGCCGAGGGCGGCCUGCACUUUAGCGCGAUGGCGUCGACGCUGCCGGGGCUCAUCUUCGGCUGCGGUGGGGUGCAACUUUCCCGCAAGGGACUGCAGGUGCACCCCAUCCUUCCGGCCAGGAUCGAGCGGUAUUCCUUCACGAUCAAGUGGCGCGGCGCGGUGCUGCGCGUGCUGGUGGACCGCGCGAACAUCACGUACGACCUCCUCGCGGGUGCGAGCCUGCGCUUCAUCCACGGCACCCCCGGUGAGCGGAUCCACCUUCACACCGGCUUUGGCCGCUGCCCCGAAACUACCCACCUCGCCAUCCCGCGCACGAGCCAGAGCCAGGUGGCGCAGUUUGAUGGUGUUGUGCUUCUCUCGGACUGCCUCUUCGACAACCUCCUUGAAUACAGUUACCGCUCGUGGUACAAGACGCUGGAGACGCUCUUCGACACGUACCGGGUGCUGCACAAUCGGCCCAUCCCCUCGCUCACACCGGAAGAGUUUAUCGAAAAGGUUGUCUACCAGCAUGAGGACGGCGAGAUUUCGUUUAGCGGCAUUGACCAAAUCUUGCAGCGUCGUGGACUGUGCCUAGAGUUGGGCACCCCGGAAGAUGCCGAGAUCGUUGAGACGCGGUACGGCUUGGCGAAUGCAAAAUUGGCGGAGAUGACGGAGAUGGUGGUCAUGUCGCCCCCACCCGUCAAUGCCGGCCUCUUUCGCCUGCUCAAGGGCCUGGUGGAGAACGGUGUGGCGCUGGCUGUGGUGUCAUACAGCCGGACGCUGAAGCAGCUGCUCGCCUCAAAUCCGCAGUUGGCGCGUCUCUUCGUGGCCUCCAUCGACGGUGAGGAGGCGUACGAUUGGAAGAUAAAGGGACAACCUCACCUUGACCUGUACAUGCGGGCCGCCGAGAAGAUCCACGUGGACAUUAACCGGUGCCUCGUGAUUAGCCACCACCUGGACCGCGGAUUUAACGCAAAGGAGAUGUCGAAGUUCCGCAUGUUCAUCGAUGUCGAGGACCCGUUUGUGAGUUCGCGCUUCCUUAGCAGUCCGUACCCGUCCUUGACGCCGGGGGAGUCGAAAGAGACCGGCCGAGACAACCCUGUCGUGUGCCGUCUGGAGCUGUCGCGGAUUCCGUCGUCCAUCGACGAGCUGGAGGAUAUGGUGGACGGUCGAAAAAUGUGAAAAAAAAAAGCCAGCUGCCGUGACACACCAAAAGACGUUGUGGCACCCGGAGCGGCUGCUUCGGCAGAAUUGUGUGUGUAAGUGCUUGUAUCGGUUGGCCGUGGCGUGCACGCAGGUGAAAAAGGUAGGGAAGAGAUUUCGAUGGGAGCGGGAUGUGCGCAAAGGAGAUGCUCAUCCAUCUACAUCUGGCUCCUGCACACACCCAAGCACACACUCCUGCUGAAGGAAGUCGGUGCCACCAGCCCCGAUAGGUGUGCCUUUUCACAUUUCUUUUUAUCGCCGUCCUUGUUAUCCAUUGCUGUGUGGCUCGUCAGCCACACGCUGUUGGCUGUCUUGUUGUUUGCGUGUCUCGGUCGCGUCUGCCACAGUGCAUUUUUCAUGCUCCCCGGCACAAAGCCACAACGGGAGGGUUGUCGUAAACCCAUGUGCGUGGACAUGAGUUCGGCAGCGACGGUGGCGAGACAAGCGCAUUUUCCUUCAGACACCGCUCGCAUCGGCGGUGAUGAGGGCAAGUAAAGCUCGGUGCAGGUCUAGCGUCUCGGGCUUAGCUGUAGGAGCGUCCCUUGCGAAGUGUAGGGCGAGCAAC
This 5102-nucleotide unclassified non-coding RNA is filed under the name Leishmania donovani. Its description in RNAcentral is "gene:LdHU3.34.3410(CDS-product:Glycosyl_hydrolase _family_65_central_catalytic_domain/Glycosyl_hydrolase_fami ly_65_C-inal_domain_containing_protein_putative)". Lineage: Eukaryota; Euglenozoa; Kinetoplastea; Trypanosomatida; Trypanosomatidae. The record is from RNAcentral.